ACAUACUUACACAUAGUGAAACCGCGAAUGGCUCAUUAAAUCAGUUAUGGUUCCUUAGAUCGUAAAAAUCCACUUGGAUAACUGUGGUAAUUCUAGAGCUAAUACAUGCAUCAAAACACUGACAUUAUUGUAAGUGUGCUUUUAUUAGAACAAAAUCAAUAGGAAUUUAUUCCUUUUUUUGGUGACUCUGGAUAACUUUGGGCUGAUUGCAUGGCCUUGUGCCGGCAACGUAUCUUUCAAAUGUCUGCCCUAUCAACUUUCGAAGGUAGAUGAUAUGCCUACCUUGGUUGUAACGGGUAACGGGGAAUUAGGGUUCCAUUCCGGAGAGGGCGCAUGAGAAACGGCGACCACAUCCAAGGAAGGCAGCAGGCGCGCAAAUUACCCACUCCUGGAAUGGGGAGGUAGUGACGAAAAAUAACAAUAUGAAUCUCAUUUGAGGCUUCAUAAUUGGAAUGAGUACACUUUAAAUCCUUUAACGAGGAUCAA
Molecule: ribosomal RNA, 486 nt
Filed under: uncultured eukaryote
Lineage: Eukaryota
Description: SSU rRNA
Rfam family: Eukaryotic small subunit ribosomal RNA
Source: RNAcentral